This 516-nucleotide ribosomal RNA is filed under the name uncultured bacterium. RNAcentral's name for it is "bacterial SSU rRNA". It matches the Rfam family "Bacterial small subunit ribosomal RNA", at positions 28 to 590 of the family's 1533-position model. The record is from RNAcentral.
AGCGAACGCUGGCGGCAGGCCUAACACAUGCAAGUCGAACGGACCCUUCGGGGUUAGUGGCGGACGGGUGAGUAACACGUGGGAACGUGCCUUUAGGUUCGGGAUAGCUCCUGGAAACGGGUGGUAAUGCCGAAUGUGCCCUUCGGGGGAAAGAUUUAUCGCCUUUAGAGCGGCCCGCGUCUGAUUAGCUUGUUGGUGGGGUAAUGGCCCACCAAGGCUACGAUCAGUAGCUGGUCUGAGAGGAUGACCAGCCACAUUGGGACUGAGACACGGCCCAAACUCCUACGGGAGGCAGCAGUGGGGAAUCUUGCGCAAUGGGCGAAAGCCUGACGCAGCCAUGCCGCGUGUAUGAUGAAGGUCUUAGGAUUGUAAAAUACUUUCACCGGUGAAGAUAAUGACUGUAGCCGGAGAAGAAGCCCCGGCUAACUUCGUGCCAGCAGCCGCGGUAAUACGAAGGGGGCUAGCGUUGCUCGGAAUUACUGGGCGUAAAGGGAGCGUAGGCGGACAUUUAAGUCG